GAUGAACGCUGGCGGCGUGCUUAACACAUGCAAGUCGAACGGAAAGGCUCCUGCUUGCAGGGGUACUCGAGUGGCGAACGGGUGAGUAACACGUGGGUGAUCUGCCCUGCACUUCGGGAUAAGCCUGGGAAACUGGGUCUAAUACCGGAUAGGACGAUGGUUUGGAUGCCAUUGUGGAAAGUUUUUUCGGUGUGGGAUGAGCUCGCGGCCUAUCAGCUUGUUGGUGGGGUAAUGGCCUACCAAGGCGUCGACGGGUAGCCGGCCUGAGAGGGUGUACGGCCACAUUGGGACUGAGAUACGGCCCAGACUCCUACGGGAGGCAGCAGUGGGGAAUAUUGCACAAUGGGCGCAAGCCUGAUGCAGCGACGCCGCGUGGGGGAUGACGGCCUUCGGGUUGUAAACUGCUUUCGCUAGGGACGAAGCGCAAGUGACGGUACCUGGAGAAGAAGCACCGGCUAACUACGUG
RNAcentral lists this ribosomal RNA (466 nucleotides) under uncultured bacterium. Its description in RNAcentral is "partial 16S ribosomal RNA". It matches the Rfam family "Bacterial small subunit ribosomal RNA", at positions 28 to 507 of the family's 1533-position model. The record is from RNAcentral.